Molecule: ribosomal RNA, 502 nt
Filed under: uncultured Acidovorax sp.
Lineage: Bacteria; Pseudomonadati; Pseudomonadota; Betaproteobacteria; Burkholderiales; Comamonadaceae
Description: partial 16S ribosomal RNA
Source: RNAcentral
CACGUAGUUAGCCGGUGCUUAUUCUUACGGUACCGUCAUGACCUCUCUUUAUUAGAAAGAGGCUUUUCGUUCCGUACAAAAGCAGUUUACAACCCGAAGGCCUUCAUCCUGCACGCGGCAUGGCUGGAUCAGGCUUUCGCCCAUUGUCCAAAAUUCCCCACUGCUGCCUCCCGUAGGAGUCUGGGCCGUGUCUCAGUCCCAGUGUGGCUGGUCGUCCUCUCAGACCAGCUACAGAUCGUCGGCUUGGUAAGCUUUUAUCCCACCAACUACCUAAUCUGCCAUCGGCCGCUCCGUCCGCGCAAGGCCUUGCGGUCCCCUGCUUUCAUCCGUAGAUCGUAUGCGGUAUUAGCAAAGCUUUCGCUCCGUUAUCCCCCACGAUCGGGCACGUUCCGAUGUAUUACUCACCCGUUCGCCACUCGUCAGCAUCCGAAGACCUGUUACCGUUCGACUUGCAUGUGUAAGGCAUGCCGCCAGCGUUCAAUCUGAGCCAGGAUCAAACUCU